Molecule: ribosomal RNA, 207 nt
Filed under: uncultured bacterium
Lineage: Bacteria
Description: partial 16S ribosomal RNA
Rfam family: Bacterial small subunit ribosomal RNA
Source: RNAcentral
CUCGUAGGCGGUCCGUUGCGUCUGCCGUGAAAACCCGGGGCUCAACCCCGGGCCUGCGGUGGAUACGGGCGGACUAGAGUCCGGUAGGGGAGACUGGAAUUCCUGGUGUAGCGGUGGAAUGCGCAGAUAUCAGGAGGAACACCGGUGGCGAAGGCGGGUCUCUGGGCCGGAACUGACGCUGAGGAGCGAAAGCGUGGGGAGCGAACA